GCGACUAAGCGUACACGGUGGAUGCCCUGGCAGUCAGAGGCGAUGAAGGACGUGCUAAUCUGCGAUAAGCGUCGGUGAGGUGAUAUGAACCGUUAUAACCGGCGAUUUCCGAAUGGGGAAACCCAGUGUGUUUCGACACACUAUCAUUAACUGAAUCCAUAGGUUAAUGAGGCGAACCGGGGGAACUGAAACAUCUAAGUACCCCGAGGAAA
This 212-nucleotide ribosomal RNA is filed under the name Escherichia coli. RNAcentral describes it as "partial 23S ribosomal RNA". It matches the Rfam family "Bacterial large subunit ribosomal RNA", at positions 1 to 219 of the family's 2925-position model. The record is from RNAcentral. Lineage: Bacteria; Pseudomonadati; Pseudomonadota; Gammaproteobacteria; Enterobacterales; Enterobacteriaceae.